AUGAUGUACUAGAAAAUUGCUUGAGCGCCACCUAGUGAGCAGAAGGGGGACAUGCUUCUUUUCUCUGACUUGCUCCUUCUCUGUGUCCAGGCUGCUCACACAGGCCUCAGGAUUGGCCAACAAGGGGACUGACUUCUAAGCAAUAUCUUCACUUCUAAAAUCAGAGAUUCCUGCACUGACAAGAUGGCUCAUCAGGGAGGCCAGAAGGUGCUCACAGGAAUAGCAGAGGAACAGCGUGGACCAGAGAAAACUACAGCCCUCAAGCCUGUGGUGACCUUCUCUUAAGGGAAGGGAGAUUUAUCUUCACAAUGAAUGAGUGGUAUUGAUUAACACAUUGCAGUGGGCAUUCUAAUUUCAGAAUCAAGACCAUGUAAGUGACUUAAAGUAACCCCUGGCAAAAAAAGAUGUGUUUUACCAGUUGACCCAUGAUUAAUGAGGACACUGAAUACAGACAGAGCGGGAGACAUUCCGUUGUCUUUCUCUUCCUCCUUGAAACAUAUUUGACCUCUGCUUCCCUGGCCCACAGCCACCCAUAUCAUUGGCAUACUUUUGAAGUCUUGGACCAGUGAACUUAGCAUGACCAUCCAGGGAACAUCCCUCCAAAAGUUAUCUGUUUCUAGCUUGAAAAUGUCCCACGAUAACCCGCUUCCUUUGGGGAACAUGCAUACUUAAAGUGAAAGCUACAUUUAAUCAAUAUUCAUUCUCACUCUGUGCAUGCAAGGCCACAUAAAAUAUCUCUGUGUUCAAUUGGUCAAGACUUUCCACAUAGUUCAAAUUGUAUACAGUCUCUCUUA
Molecule: long non-coding RNA, 794 nt
Organism: Meriones unguiculatus (Mongolian gerbil)
Lineage: Eukaryota; Metazoa; Chordata; Mammalia; Rodentia; Muridae
Exons: 3
Source: RefSeq, a predicted model, not a curated record